AACGCUGGCGGCGUGCUUAACACAUGCAAGUCGAACGAGAGGACAAGAGAAGCUUGCUUCUUUUGGAAUCGAGUGGCAAACGGGUGAGUAACACGUAAACAACCUGCCUUCAGGAUGGGACAACAGACGGAAACGACUGCUAAUACCGAAUACGCUUGGGAGACCGCAUGAUCUUCCAAGGAAAGGGUGGCCUCUACUUGUAAGCUAUCGCCUGAAGAGGGGUUUGCGUCUGAUUAGGCAGUUGGUGAGGUAACGGCCCACCAAACCUACGAUCAGUAGCCGGUCUGAGAGGAUGAACGGCCACACUGGAACUGAGACACGGUCCAGACUCCUACGGGAGGCAGCAGUGGGGAAUCUUCCGCAAUGGGCGAAAGCCUGACGGAGCAACGCCGCGUGAGUGAUGACGGCCUUCGGGUUGUAAAGCUCUGUGAUCGGGGACGAACGGUCCGUAAGCCAAUACCUUAUGGAAGUGACGGUACCCGAAUAGCAAGCCACGGCUAACUACGUG
RNAcentral lists this ribosomal RNA (508 nucleotides) under uncultured bacterium. RNAcentral's name for it is "bacterial SSU rRNA". It matches the Rfam family "Bacterial small subunit ribosomal RNA", at positions 32 to 507 of the family's 1533-position model. The record is from RNAcentral.